AUUGAACGCUGGCGGCAUGCCUUACACAUGCAAGUCGAACGGUAACAGGUCUUCGGAUGCUGACGAGUGGCGAACGGGUGAGUAAUACAUCGGAACGUGCCUAGUAGUGGGGGAUAACUACUCGAAAGAGUGGCUAAUACCGCAUGAGAUCUACGGAUGAAAGCAGGGGAUCGCAAGACCUUGUGCUACGAGAGCGGCCGAUGGCAGAUUAGGUAGUUGGUGGGAUAAAAGCUUACCAAGCCGACGAUCUGUAGCUGGUCUGAGAGGACGAUCAGCCACACUGGGACUGAGACACGGCCCAGACUCCUACGGGAGGCAGCAGUGGGGAAUUUUGGACAAUGGGUGCAAGCCUGAUCCAGCAAUGCCGCGUGCAGGAUGAAGGCCUUCGGGUUGUAAACUGCUUUUGUACGGAACGAAAAGCCCCGGGUUAAUACCCUGGGGUCAUGACGGUACCGUAAGAAUAAGCACCGGCUAACUACGUGCCAGCCGCCGCCGUAA
RNAcentral lists this ribosomal RNA (498 nucleotides) under uncultured bacterium. RNAcentral describes it as "partial 16S ribosomal RNA". It matches the Rfam family "Bacterial small subunit ribosomal RNA", at positions 30 to 523 of the family's 1533-position model. The record is from RNAcentral.